This 230-nucleotide ribosomal RNA is filed under the name uncultured bacterium. Its description in RNAcentral is "partial 16S ribosomal RNA". It matches the Rfam family "Bacterial small subunit ribosomal RNA", at positions 15 to 237 of the family's 1533-position model. The record is from RNAcentral.
GAUCAUGGCUCAGGAUGAACGCUAACGACAGGCCUAACACAUGCAAGUCGAGGGGCAACAUGGUGUCAGCUUGCUGAUACCGAUGGCGACCGGCGCACGGGUGAGUAACGCGUAUGUAAUCUACCUGUAACAGAGGGAUAACCCGGAGAAAUCCGGACUAAUACCUCAUAGCACAUAUUAUUCGCAUGAAUUUUAUGUUAAAGAGACUCGGUUACAGAUGAACAUGCGUU